UGGGGAAUCUUGCACAAUGGAGGAAACUCUGAUGCAGCGAUGCCGCGUGAGUGAAGAAGGCCCUUGGGUUGUAAAGCUCUUUCGUCGGGGAAGAAAAUGACUGUACCCGAAUAAGAAGGUCCGGCUAACUUUGUGCCAGCAGCCGCGGUAAUACGAAGGGACCUAGCGUAGUUCGGAAUUACUGGGCUUAAAGAGUUCGUAGGUGGUUGAAAAAGUUAGUGGUGAAAUCCCAGAGCUUAACUCUGGAACUGCCAUUAAAACUUUUCAGCUAGAGUAUGAUAGAGGAAAGCAGAAUUUCUGGUGUAGCGGUGAAAUGCGUAGAUAUCAGGAGGAAUACCAAUGGCGAAGGC
Molecule: ribosomal RNA, 350 nt
Filed under: uncultured bacterium
Lineage: Bacteria
Description: bacterial SSU rRNA
Rfam family: Bacterial small subunit ribosomal RNA
Source: RNAcentral